This 76-nucleotide transfer RNA is filed under the name Staphylococcus aureus M1237. RNAcentral describes it as "tRNA-Lys". It matches the Rfam family "tRNA". Rfam says of the family: Transfer RNA (tRNA) molecules are approximately 80 nucleotides in length. The record is from RNAcentral. Lineage: Bacteria; Bacillati; Bacillota; Bacilli; Caryophanales; Staphylococcaceae.
GAGCCAUUAGCUCAGUUGGUAGAGCAUCUGACUUUUAAUCAGAGGGUCGGCGGUUCGAACCCGUCAUUCUCCACCA